GCCCCCGUAGCUCAGUGGAUAGAGCGAUGGAUUCCUAAUCCAUGUGCCGCAGGUCCGAUUCCUGCCGGGGGCACCA
RNAcentral lists this transfer RNA (76 nucleotides) under Deltaproteobacteria bacterium. RNAcentral's name for it is "tRNA-Arg". It matches the Rfam family "tRNA". Rfam says of the family: Transfer RNA (tRNA) molecules are approximately 80 nucleotides in length. Their secondary structure includes four short double-helical elements and three loops (D, anti-codon, and T loops). Lineage: Bacteria; Pseudomonadati; Myxococcota; Myxococcia. RNAcentral also lists the same sequence under 1 other name. The record is from RNAcentral.